CUCUGGGAUAAGCCUGGGAAACUGGGUCUAAUACCGGAUAUGACCAACUGUCGCAUGGUGGUUGGUGGAAAGCUUUUGCGGUGUGGGAUGGGCCCGCGGCCUAUCAGCUUGUUGGUGGGGUAAUGGCCUACCAAGGCGACGACGGGUAGCCGACCUGAGAGGGUGAUCGGCCACACUGGGACUGAAACACGGCCCAGACUCCUACGGGAGGCAGCAGUGGGGAAUAUUGCACAAUGGGCGCAAGCCUGAUGCAGCGACGCCGCGUGAGGGAUGACGGCCUUCGGGUUGUAAACCUCUUUCACCAGGGACGAAGCGUGAGUGACGGUACCUGGAGAAGAAGCACCGGCCAACUACGUGCCAGCAGCCGCGGUAAUACGUAGGGUGCGAGCGUUGUCCGGAAUUACUGGGCGUAAAGAGCUCGUAGGCGGUUUGUCGCGUCGUCUGUGAAAUUCUGCAACUCAAUUGCAGGCGUGCAGGCGAUACGGGCAGACUUGAGUACUACAGGGGAGACUGGAAUUCCUGGUGUAGCGGUGAAAUGCGCAGAUAUCAGGAGGAACACCGGUGGCGAAGGCGGGUCUCUGGGUAGUAACUGACGCUGAGGAGCGAAAGCGUGGGUAGCGAACAGGAUUAGAUACCCUGGUAGUCCACGCCGUAAACGGUGGGUACUAGGUGUGGGUUCCUUUU
RNAcentral lists this ribosomal RNA (684 nucleotides) under Gordonia terrae. RNAcentral describes it as "bacterial SSU rRNA". It matches the Rfam family "Bacterial small subunit ribosomal RNA", at positions 136 to 834 of the family's 1533-position model. The record is from RNAcentral. Lineage: Bacteria; Bacillati; Actinomycetota; Actinomycetes; Mycobacteriales; Gordoniaceae.